This 504-nucleotide ribosomal RNA is filed under the name uncultured bacterium. RNAcentral's name for it is "partial 16S ribosomal RNA". It matches the Rfam family "Bacterial small subunit ribosomal RNA", at positions 29 to 523 of the family's 1533-position model. The record is from RNAcentral.
AUUGAACGCUGGCGGCAGGCCUAACACAUGCAAGUCGGACGGUAGCACAGAGAGCUUGCUCUUGGGUGACGAGUGGCGGACGGGUGAGUAAUGUCUGGGGAUCUGCCCGAUAGAGGGGGAUAACCACUGGAAACGGUGGCUAAUACCGCAUAACGUCGCAAGACCAAAGAGGGGGACCUUCGGGCCUCUCACUAUCGGAUGAACCCAGAUGGGAUUAGCUAGUAGGCGGGGUAAUGGCCCACCUAGGCGACGAUCCCUAGCUGGUCAGAGAGGAUGACCAGCCACACUGGAACUGAGACACGGUCCAGACACCUACGGGAGGCAGCAGUGGGGAAUAUUGCACAAUGGGCGCAAGCCUGAUGCAGCCAUGCCGCGUGUAUGAAGAAGGCCUUCGGGUUGUAAAGUACUUUCAGCGGGGGGGAAGGCGGUGAGGUUAAUAACCUUGCCGAUUGACGUUACCCGCAGAAGAAGCACCGGCUAACUCCGUGCCAGCAGCCGCGGUAA